AACGAACGCUGGCGGCAUGCCUAACACAUGCAAGUCGAACGGGAUCCUAGCUUGCUAGGUGAGAGUGGCGGACGGGUGAGUAACACGUGGGAAUCUGCCUUUUGGUUCGGGAUAACCGCGGGAAACUGCGGCUAAUACCGAAUGCCCUCGAGAGAGGAAAGAUUCAUCGCCAGAAGAGGAGCCCGCGUCCGAUUAGGUAGUUGGUGGGGUAAAGGCCUACCAAGCCGACGAUCGGUAGCUGGUCUGAGAGGAUGAUCAGCCACACUGGGACUGAGAUACGGCCCAGACUCCUACGGGAGGCAGCAGUGGGGAAUAUUGGACAAUGGGGGGCAACCCUGAUCCAGCAAUGCCGCGUGAGUGAUGAAGGCCUUAGGGUUGUAAAGCUCUUUUGCCAGGGAAGAUGAUGACUGUACCUGGAGAAUAAGCCCCGGCUAACUUCGUGCCAGCAGCCGCGGUAAU
RNAcentral lists this ribosomal RNA (459 nucleotides) under uncultured bacterium. RNAcentral's name for it is "bacterial SSU rRNA". It matches the Rfam family "Bacterial small subunit ribosomal RNA", at positions 29 to 524 of the family's 1533-position model. The record is from RNAcentral.